AUUGAACGCUGGCGGCAGGCCUAACACAUGCAAGUCGAACGAGUGGCGGACGGGUGAGUAAUCUCUGGGAAACUGCCUGAUGGAGGGGGAUAACUACUGGAAACGGUAGCUAAUACCGCAUACCAUCGGAUGUGCCCAACUGGGAUUAGCUAGUUGUUGGGGUAAAGGCUCACCAAGGCGACGAUCCCUAGCUGGUCUGAGAGGAUGACCAGCCACACUGGAACUGAGACACGGGCCAGACUCCUAAGGGAGGCAGCAGUGGGGAAUAUUGCACAAGGGGCGCAAGCCUGAUGCAGCCAUGCCGCGUGUAUGAAGAAGGCCUUCGGGGUGUAAAGGACUUUCAGCGGGGAGGCGUUACCCGCAGAAGAAGCACCGGCUAACUCCGUGCCAGCAGCCGCGGUAAUAC
This 406-nucleotide ribosomal RNA is filed under the name uncultured bacterium. RNAcentral describes it as "partial 16S ribosomal RNA". It matches the Rfam family "Bacterial small subunit ribosomal RNA", at positions 30 to 526 of the family's 1533-position model. The record is from RNAcentral.